GACGAACGCUGGCGGCGUGCUUAACACGUGCAAGUCGAACGAUGAAGCCGGAGCUUGCUCCGGUGGAUUAGUGGCGAACGGGUGAGUAACACGUGGGUGAUCUGCCCUGCACUUCGGGAUAAGCCUGGGAAACUGGGUCUAAUACCGGAUAGGACCACUGCCUGCAUGGGUGGUGGUGGAAAGCUUUUGCGGUGUGGGAUGGGCCCGCGGCCUAUCAGCUUGUUGGUGGGGUGAUGGCCUACCAAGGCGACGACGGGUAGCCGGCCUGAGAGGGUGACCGGCCACACUGGGACUGAGAUACGGCCCAGACUCCUACGGGAGGCAGCAGUGGGGAAUAUUGCACAAUGGGCGCAAGCCUGAUGCAGCGACGCCGCGUGAGGGAUGACGGCCUUCGGGUUGUAAACCUCUUUCAGCACCGACGAAGCGCAAGUGACGGUAGGUGCAGAAGAAGGACCGGCCAACUACGUGCCAGCCGCCGCCGUAA
Molecule: ribosomal RNA, 484 nt
Filed under: uncultured bacterium
Lineage: Bacteria
Description: partial 16S ribosomal RNA
Rfam family: Bacterial small subunit ribosomal RNA
Source: RNAcentral